AUUGAACGCUGGCGGCAGGCCUAACACAUGCAAGUCGAACGAGUGGCGGACGGGUGAGUAAUGUCUGGGAAACUGCCCGAUGGAGGGGGAUAACUACUGGAAACGGUAGCUAAUACCGCAUACCAUCGGAUGUGCCCAGAUGGGAUGAGCUAGUAGGGGGGGUAACGCCUCACCUAGGCGCCGAUCCCUAGCUGGUCUGAGAGGAUGACCAGCCACACUGGAACUGAGGCACUGUCAAGACUCCUACUGGAGGCAGCAGUGGGGAAUAUUGCACAAUGGGAGAAAGCGUGAUGCAGCCAGGCCGCGUGUAUGAAGAAGGCCUUCGGGUUGUAAAGUACUUUCAGCGGGGAGGCGUUACCCGCAGAAGAAGCAACGGCUAACUCCGUGCCAGCAGCCGCGGUAAUUC
RNAcentral lists this ribosomal RNA (406 nucleotides) under uncultured bacterium. RNAcentral describes it as "partial 16S ribosomal RNA". It matches the Rfam family "Bacterial small subunit ribosomal RNA", at positions 30 to 526 of the family's 1533-position model. The record is from RNAcentral.